AAGAGAGCUUCGGCUCCUUUUAUGUUUUCAACCAUAUUGCUGUUUCCAUCCUUGUUGCUUCCACCCUUUGAAGGCGGGCUGGAAGCCUGCUCGAAGGGGGUGGAGGGUUUUGUUUUGAAAACAUGUUUGUUCGGUCAGCCGUAACUUGUCUGAAUAAGAGGGAAAAAUGCUUUA
RNAcentral lists this unclassified non-coding RNA (174 nucleotides) under uncultured Pezizaceae. RNAcentral's name for it is "sequence contains ITS1". Lineage: Eukaryota; Fungi; Ascomycota; Pezizomycetes; Pezizales; Pezizaceae. The record is from RNAcentral.